This 944-nucleotide long non-coding RNA is filed under the name Homo sapiens (human). RNAcentral describes it as "HSALNT0333571". The record is from RNAcentral. Lineage: Eukaryota; Metazoa; Chordata; Mammalia; Primates; Hominidae.
CAAUUCUCCUGUCUCAUCAUCCCAAAGUGCCAGGAUUACAGAGCACAUGAGCCUGCAAGGCCCAGAUCAACACCUGACUCAGACAGAACACCAGGGCAGUGCACAGCUGGGAUUUCAGUCUCUGCUCUCAGCUCCCAGGUCCACUGGCUCUACUGAGGGCACCUACACUCUGCAGCCAGGCGGCCUGGAUUGAACGCCCUGCCCAGGUUGAAUCAUAUUCCAUUGCCUACAUAGACCACAUGUUCUUCAUCUAUUCAUGUGUUGAUGGGUGCUUUGUUUGCUUCCUUGUCUUGGCUAUGGUGAGUAAUGUUGCUGUGAAUACGGGUAUGCAAUGUUUUUCUUUUUUACAGCCUCCCUCAUUUCAGUGGAAUUAAUGUUUUAGUAGCUACUUCUGAUAGCACAUAUUUAAAGUAUUUUUGCAUGCAUCAAUGUGUCCAUUGUUGUUUUGAUUCUCUCCUGGAAGAGGAUGGAAAUGUAUGAAGGUGCUGUUUGGCACAGUAUUUAAUGGUGAAGAAGAGACGGUGUAACUGACCAGUGCUGGGUCUCAGCAUCCUGCAAUUUCAGAACUACUGUGAAUGCAAAAAUAAUUAAAAAAACCAGUGCUGCCCAGAAAGGGGGAGUCAUCCCUAAAUAUGGCGGCCCUGGGACAGCUGGCCUCCCUGCCAGGCCUCUUCCAUGGGGGCCCUUUUCUGCAGUGACUGGGAUUUCUUUCCAUUUCACUCUACCCUGUGUCCUGACCCAAGAGACAAGGCAUGUCUGCAGCUGUGCCCACACUUGGAGUGUGUCAGUACAUUAUAAACACUGGCUCAGUGGUGUUAGUACAUUAUAAACAUUGGCUUAUCAUGGGUUAUUUUAUUAUUUAUUGUGUAUUUUGAUUUCACUUUACUGGCAACACAAUAAACAAUGACAUGAUGACCCUAGCAAUCACAUCCUCUUUCUUGUGU